This 845-nucleotide ribosomal RNA is filed under the name uncultured bacterium. RNAcentral's name for it is "bacterial SSU rRNA". It matches the Rfam family "Bacterial small subunit ribosomal RNA", at positions 8 to 796 of the family's 1533-position model. The record is from RNAcentral.
AGAGUUUGAUCCUGGCUCAGGAUGAACGCUGGCGGCGUGCCUAAUACAUGCAAGUCGAGCGGUAAGGCUCCUACAGGUGAUUUGAUUACGACAACCUCGGUUGUCACAGCAAACCAAUUCAACCCCGGCUAGGGAAGAAGCGGUAAGGGAAAAUCGAAUUACGUGUUGGAGUACACGAGCGGCGGACGGCUGAGUAACGCGUAGGAACGUACCCCAAAGUGAGGGAUAAGCACCAGAAAUGGUGUCUAAUACCGCAUGUGAUCUAAGGAUUAAAGCUUCGGCGCUUUGGGAACGGCCUGCGUUAGAUUAGCUUGUUGGUGAGGUAAAAGCUCACCAAGGCGACGAUCUAUAGCUGGUCUGAGAGGAUGAUCAGCCAGACUGGGACUGAGACACGGCCCAGACUCCUACGGGAGGCAGCAGUAGGGAAUUUUCCACAAUGGGGGCAACCCUGAUGGAGCAACGCCGCGUGCAGGAUGAAGGUUUUCGGAUUGUAAACUGCUUUUAUCUGUGACGAAUAUGACGGUAGCAGAUGAAUAAGGAUCGGCUAACUCCGUGCCAGCAGCCGCGGUCAUACGGAGGAUCCAAGCGUUAUCCGGAAUUACUGGGCGUAAAGAGUUGCGUAGGUGGCAUAGUAAGCGGGUAGUGAAAGCGUGUGGCUCAACCAUACUCACAUUAUCUGAACUGCUAAGCUAGAGGGCGAGAGAGGUUACUAGAAUUCCUAGUGUAGGAGUGAAAUCCGCAGAUAUUAGGAGGAAUACCGAUGGCGUAGGCAGGUAACUGGCUCGUCCCUGACACUAAGGCACGAAAGCGUGGGUAGCAAACGGGAUUAGAUACCCUGGUAGUCC